RNAcentral lists this ribosomal RNA (503 nucleotides) under uncultured bacterium. Its description in RNAcentral is "bacterial SSU rRNA". It matches the Rfam family "Bacterial small subunit ribosomal RNA", at positions 16 to 518 of the family's 1533-position model. The record is from RNAcentral.
AUUCUGGCUCAGGGAUGAACGCUGGCGGCGUGCUUAACACAUGCAAGUCGAACGAGGCUUGUCGACGGAAAUUUCGGAUGGAAGACGGCAUGACCGAGUGGCGGACGGGUGAGUAACGCGUGGGGAACCUGCCCCAUUCCGGGGGAUACCAGUUGGAAACGACUGUUAAUACCGCAUAAGCGCACGGGAAGGCAUCUUCCAGUGUGAAAAACUGAGGUGGAAUGGGAUGGCCCCGCGUCUGAUUAGCCAGUUGGCAGGGUAACGGCCUACCAAAGCGACGAUCAGUAGCCGGCCUGAGAGGGCGACCGGCCACAUUGGGACUGAGACACGGCCCAAACUCCUACGGGAGGCAGCAGUGGGGAAUAUUGCACAAUGGGGGGAACCCUGAUGCAAGCGACGCCGCGUGAGUGAGGAAGUAUUUCGGUAUGUAAAGCUCUAUCAGCAGGGAAGAAGGUGACGGUACCUGCACAAGAAGCCCCGGCUAACUACGUGCCAGCCGCCGC